UACGUAGGGUGCAAGCGUUGUCCGGAAUUAUUGGGCGUAAAGAGCUCGUAGGCGGUUUGUCGCGUCGAAUGUGAAAACCCGGGGCUCAACCCCGGGCCUGCAUUCGAUACGGGCAGACUAGAGCUCGGUAGGGGAGUCUGGAAUUCCUGGUGUAGCGGUGAAAUGCGCAGAUAUCAGGAGGAACACCGGUGGCGAAGGCGGGACUCUGGGCCGAUACUGACGCUGAGGAGCGAAAGCGUGGGGAGCGAACAGG
This 253-nucleotide ribosomal RNA is filed under the name uncultured bacterium. Its description in RNAcentral is "partial 16S ribosomal RNA". It matches the Rfam family "Bacterial small subunit ribosomal RNA", at positions 524 to 776 of the family's 1533-position model. The record is from RNAcentral.